GAUGAACGCUGGCGGCGUGCCUAAUACAUGCAAGUCGAGCGAACAGACGAGGAGCUUGCUCCUCUGACGUUAGCGGCGGACGGGUGAGUAACACGUGGAUAACCUACCUAUAAGACUGGGAUAACUUCGGGAAACCGGAGCUAAUACCGGAUAACAUGUUGAACCGCAUGGUUCAACAGUCAAAGACGGUUUUGCUGUCACUUAUAGAUGGAUCCGCGCCGCAUUAGCUAGUUGGUAAGGUAACGGCUUACCAAGGCAACGAUGCGUAGCCGACCUGAGAGGGUGAUCGGCCACACUGGAACUGAGACACGGUCCAGACUCCUACGGGAGGCAGCAGUAGGGAAUCUUCCGCAAUGGGCGAAAGCCUGACGGAGCAACGCCGCGUGAGUGAAGAAGGUCUUCGGAUCGUAAAACUCUGUUAUUAGGGAAGAACAAAUGUGUAAGUAACUAUGCACGUCUUGACGGUACCUAAUCAGAAAGCCACGGCUAACUACGUG
This 497-nucleotide ribosomal RNA is filed under the name uncultured bacterium. RNAcentral describes it as "partial 16S ribosomal RNA". It matches the Rfam family "Bacterial small subunit ribosomal RNA", at positions 28 to 507 of the family's 1533-position model. The record is from RNAcentral.